GGAUGGAUCAUUAACGUUCUUAAAACAAAAUGCAAUGGCUAGUUGACGGUAUUGGCUCAUAGCGCACUGGCAAUCGUUAGUCGUGGGCUCGCAUGCGUGCUGAUACGCUCUGUCGGUUGUGUCUAACGCAGAUUGCUUACUUGAUGCUAGCCAGUAUAUUGCUGUUUGUUUGUAGCUGGCCGGCGGGGUUUCCUGUCGGUCGGUUGCGGCGUCCAGCAUAUACAAGCAUUACACCCUUGUGGUUUACAGGACAUUAUUGUAUAAUGUGUGUUGUUGUGGCGGCGCCUCGUGUGUAGCCGCAGACACGCAUUGUUCAGUAGCCAUCAUAAAACACUUAUCUCUAUUUAAAAGACUAAAGUAACCUUGUGGAUCGAAUCACGCAUGCGUAUCUAGUAUAUGUUUGUUUGUUUGUAAUUACCGAAGUAAAACUAAUCAUUAAUAUCUAUACAACUGCUAGCAACGGAUCACUCGGCUCUCGCGUCGAUGAAGAACGUAGCGAAGUGCGAAAAUUAAUGCGACCCGCAACACGUGAGUCAUCGAGUUUUUGAACGCAUAUUGCACCCAGCCGUUAAAGCGCUGGGUCUGCCUGUCUGAGUAUUAUUAAUACCCAAUUUCAACCGGCAAGGUUGUGAGUUGGUGCUCACUGGCACACUGUCUUUCGGGAUGAUGUGUCGGUGGAUCUGGAUGUCUGGUCGGUUUGCAAUAACAGCGGACCAGUCAUUUGAAAUACAUUGGUAAUAGUUAAUCAACUGUUAAUGAUUGCCACCUGCUUCAAGCAUUGUUAAUCAUCUUUCAUUAGGUGUUCCUUGCUCACAAGCGGAUGGGUCAACGAUCAUUAGCCGGGCGGUCGACACACCUCGUGUGGCAGCCGUCUGUCUAUUCAGAAGUUAUUAAUGCCAUUUGCACAGCAGUGUGACCGAUUCAACGUCGGUUUCCCAGCUGUACACUCAUGUAUCUACUUAAUCUCAGAUCAGGCAUGAUGACCCGCUGAACUUAAGCAUAUCAAAUGCGAAAAAA
RNAcentral lists this ribosomal RNA (1017 nucleotides) under Syncephalis tenuis. Its description in RNAcentral is "eukaryotic LSU rRNA". The stretch from base 449 to 600 matches the Rfam family "5.8S ribosomal RNA". The record is from RNAcentral. Lineage: Eukaryota; Fungi; Zoopagomycota; Zoopagomycetes; Zoopagales; Piptocephalidaceae.